UACGUAGGUGGCAAGCGUUGUCCGGAAUUAUUGGGCGUAAAGCGCGCGCAGGUGGUUCCUUAAGUCUGAUGUGAAAGCCCACGGCUCAACCGUGGAGGGUCAUUGGAAACUGGGGAACUUGAGUGCAGAAGAGGAAAGUGGAAUUCCAAGUGUAGCGGUGAAAUGCGUAGAGAUUUGGAGGAACACCAGUGGCGAAGGCGACUUUCUGGUCUGUAACUGACGCUGAGGUGCGAAAGCGUGGGGAGCAAACAGG
Molecule: ribosomal RNA, 253 nt
Filed under: uncultured bacterium
Lineage: Bacteria
Description: partial 16S ribosomal RNA
Rfam family: Bacterial small subunit ribosomal RNA
Source: RNAcentral